UCGCCGAAAGGUGAGUCUCUGAAUGGG
RNAcentral lists this small RNA (27 nucleotides) under Bombyx mori (domestic silkworm). RNAcentral's name for it is "ovarian small RNA-28697". The record is from RNAcentral. Lineage: Eukaryota; Metazoa; Arthropoda; Insecta; Lepidoptera; Bombycidae.